UUUCCGUAGGUGAACCUGCGGAAGGAUCAUUAUUGUAUAACCGGGGUGAGAGGGCUGUCGCUGACCCGAAAGGUCGUGCACGCACGAGUGCCCUCACACACAUCCAUCUCACCCCUAUGUGCACCACCGCGUGGGUCCCCCUUUGGCUUGUUCGGAGGGGGGCUUACGUUUUCACACUAACUUUGUAUGCAGUGUAGAAUGUAUUUUUUGUUUUUGCGAUCACGCAAUCAAUACAACUUUCAACAACGGAUCUCUUGGCUCUC
This 263-nucleotide unclassified non-coding RNA is filed under the name plant metagenome. RNAcentral describes it as "partial contains small subunit ribosomal RNA, internal transcribed spacer 1, and 5.8S ribosomal RNA". The record is from RNAcentral.